GGGGGUGUAACUCAGUGGUAGAGUGUCUACUUCGCAUGCAGAAAGUCGUGGGUUCAAAUCCCAGCUCCUCCA
This 72-nucleotide transfer RNA is filed under the name Schistocerca americana (American grasshopper). RNAcentral describes it as "tRNA-Ala". It matches the Rfam family "tRNA". From Rfam's summary of the family: Transfer RNA (tRNA) molecules are approximately 80 nucleotides in length. Their secondary structure includes four short double-helical elements and three loops (D, anti-codon, and T loops). Further hydrogen bonds mediate the characteristic L-shaped molecular structure. tRNAs have two regions of fundamental functional importance: the anti-codon, which is responsible for specific mRNA codon recognition, and the 3' end, to which the tRNAs corresponding amino acid is attached (by aminoacyl-tRNA synthetases). tRNAs cope with the degeneracy of the genetic code in two manners: having more than one tRNA (with a specific anti-codon) for a particular amino acid; and 'wobble' base-pairing, i.e. permitting non-standard base-pairing at the 3rd anti-codon position. Lineage: Eukaryota; Metazoa; Arthropoda; Insecta; Orthoptera; Acrididae. The record is from RNAcentral.